RNAcentral lists this ribosomal RNA (599 nucleotides) under uncultured bacterium. RNAcentral's name for it is "bacterial SSU rRNA". It matches the Rfam family "Bacterial small subunit ribosomal RNA", at positions 338 to 944 of the family's 1533-position model. The record is from RNAcentral.
CCUACGGGAGGCAGCAGUGGGGAAUAUUGGGCAAUGGGCGCAAGCCUGACCCAGCGACGCCGCGUGAGGGAUGAAGGUCUUCGGAUUGUAAACCUCUUUCAGUGGGGAAGAAGCGAAAGUGACGGUACCCAAAGAAGAAGCACCGGCUAACUAUGUGCCAGCAGCCGCGGUAAUACAUAGGGUGCAAGCGUUGUCCGGAAUUAUUGGGCGUAAAGAGCUUGUAGGUCGUUCAUCACGUCGGAUGUGAAAAUCUGAGGCUCAACCUCAGACCUGCAUUCGAUACGAGUGAACUAGAGUUUGGUAGGGGAGACUGGAAUUCCUGGUGUAGCGGUGGAAUGCGCAGAUAUCAGGAGGAACAUCAAUGGCGAAGGCAGGUCUCUGGGCCAAUACUGACACUGAGGAGCGAAAGCGUGGGGAGCGAACAGGAUUAGAUACCCUGGUAGUCCACGCCGUAAACGGUGGGCACUAGUUGUGGGGACCUUCCACGGUUUCCGCGACGCAGCUAACGCAUUAAGUGCCCCGCCUGGGGAGUACGAUCGCAAGAUUAAAACUCAAAGAUAGUAGACGNGAGAGACGCGACGACGACGACGAGGAGGAGG